AGCGUAGGCGGGAAAUUAAGUUAAGUGUGAAAGCCUUGGGCUUAACCCCAAGAAAAUGCACUUAAUACUGGUUUUCUAGAGUGUAGGAGAGGUAAGUGGAAUUCCUAGUGUAGCGGUAAAAUAGCGUAGAGAUUAGGAGGAACAUCAGAGGCGAAGGCGGCUUACUGGACUAUAACUGACGCUGAGGCUCGAAAGCGUGGGGAGGCAAAACA
This 212-nucleotide ribosomal RNA is filed under the name uncultured bacterium. RNAcentral describes it as "partial 16S ribosomal RNA". It matches the Rfam family "Bacterial small subunit ribosomal RNA", at positions 568 to 776 of the family's 1533-position model. The record is from RNAcentral.